This 253-nucleotide ribosomal RNA is filed under the name uncultured bacterium. RNAcentral describes it as "partial 16S ribosomal RNA". It matches the Rfam family "Bacterial small subunit ribosomal RNA", at positions 524 to 776 of the family's 1533-position model. The record is from RNAcentral.
UACGAAGGGGGCAAGCGUUGUUCGGAAUUACUGGGCGUAAAGGGCGCGUAGGCGGCUUAUCAAGUCAGGCGUGAAAUUCCCGGGCUCAACCUGGGGGCUGCGCUUGAUACUGAUGAGCUUGAAUGCGGGAGAGGAUAGUGGAAUUCCCAGUGUAGAGGUGAAAUUCGUAGAUAUUGGGAAGAACAUCGGUGGCGAAGGCGGGUCUCUGGGCCGAUACUGACGCUGAGGAGCGAAAGCGUGGGGAGCGAACAGG